This is a long non-coding RNA of Oryza brachyantha (malo sina), 526 nucleotides long. RefSeq lists it as uncharacterized. NCBI's taxonomy places the organism in Eukaryota, Viridiplantae, Streptophyta, Magnoliopsida, Poales, Poaceae. The transcript is spliced from 3 exons. The record is from RefSeq and is a predicted model, not a curated record.
CCCCGCCGCACAUGACCACGGGAGGUCCAGAUGAUGAAGCUCAAGCCCAUAUGCUACUGCGCGCUUCGGUGCCUACAACAUUGACCUCUCUCGACGGCACGCCUAUAAUCUGCAUCCCAAUUGACCUAGAUUCCAAGGAUGUGAAACCCUUGUGCUGCUGCAGGCAGUGUUAUUCAGCUAGCGACCUGGCGUAUCAUUCUUGCUGGCUAUCAGCUCGUUGUGUCUUUCACAUACCAAGGGUGCAGUGCAACAAGGCCUAGCUGGCUGUGGGCUCUCCUCUCCAAGAGAAGGAUUUUGCUAUCUUCACUGGCCUGCAAAUGGUGCAUCCCGUGGCUUUGGUAAAGAUAAUGAUCAAGGGGAAGGGGUGUCAUGGAUGGGGAAGCAAAAGUCUAUAGCUCUACUCAUUUGGCUACUAUAGCAUCCAAUGGGUUUUCUGGAAGUAUCACUUUUUAAUUUCUAGUGGACUAUAAUUAAAAGAGUAGAACUGUGCCUUCAACCAACCUCUUUUGGCACACAUUACCUAAAG